Molecule: ribosomal RNA, 1098 nt
Filed under: Triticum aestivum (bread wheat)
Lineage: Eukaryota; Viridiplantae; Streptophyta; Magnoliopsida; Poales; Poaceae
Description: partial small subunit ribosomal RNA
Source: RNAcentral
AUGGGCCACUUCUCCGCCUUCCCAGUCCCCCGGUCGACGUGGUCGCGACCCUUCUCGAGGCAGCUUGGCCGCCGCCGGUUCUGGAGGUGGUUGGGGUCGUGGAUCUGGGCAAAGUCGUGGCCUUUGGUGGCUUCGUGGUGUUCUCAUGGCGGGGCGGCGGCCCUGGUGGUGGGAGUUGCGCCGGUCAUGGGCGGAUUGCGCCGCUCAGAUGCGGGCAGGCAACCAUGGCCGCUCGGGCGGCAUGGUUGCGGGUGUUGGCGGACCGGGGUGGCGGCGGGGGAUUUGAUGCACCAGCGUGAAAACUUGAUUUUCGGAUCGGACGGUGGCGACGUUCGUGCUCUUCCUGGAGGCACCGUCUUGGAGUCCUCGAUCUGGCUUGUCCGUCGCACAUCCUCCCGGACGGUCGCUCCUUGUGGUGGUGGUUGUGUGUCGGUGCCCGACAUUCGUGUAUCUUGCCUUGGGAAGCGUCGCCGGCGUGCGGCGGUGGCAUUGGAUGAUAUCGCCGGCCCGGUGGCACCCCCGUUCUCUUCCCCCCUCUGGGCGUCGCUUUCGGAGGAUUUGGUUUGCGAGAUAGCUUGGAGUGUGCUCUCGAGCAGUUUUCUCGACUACGCGCGCUUUCGCGCCGUUUGCCGUAGUUGGUGGUCUGGCACCGUGUGCCCGCGCGGCCGCGGCGUCGCCGAUCCGCGCUUCUACCCGCGCCGCUGGAUGAUGCUGCCGGAGGGCCAUGGCCUCUACCCCGGCCACCGCAAGCUGUGUGCAGCCACGUCCGCUUCUUCAACCUCGACACGGGAACCUUCGUCCGCGUCAACCUCCCGCUGUUCAACAACCACUGCGCUCUUGACUCGGUCGUCGGCCUCCUCCUCCAGACGGACGAGGACACUUGCUCCGCCCCGUGCUCCGUCCUGCCGCUGGGAGCAGCGUCCGGUGACCCCUAGUUGCUCCGCCCCGACCUCCGUCCUGCUGCCGGGAGCAGCGGUCGGUGACCCCCAGUUGAUCACCACAGUCCCUGGUUCAGUACCGGAUCGACCUCAAGCACACCGGAUCUGGACACCUCGAGAGGAGAUUGACAUCUUGACCAUCCCUGCACCUCAUCCCUGA